AGUGAACGCUGGCGGUAGGCCUAAAAAAGGAAAGUCGAACGGCAGCACAUAAAGAGCUGGCUUUAACGGGGGCGGGGGGGGGGAGGGGGGGGGAAAAAACCGGAACUUACUUUUUCGGGGGGGUAAAGGAGGGGAACCUUACGCAAUAACCCAUAAGAACUUAGGGGGGAAAGCAGGGGACCUUGGAACUUUGGGCGAUGGAUGGGGCGAUGUCGGAUUAGGUAGUUGGCGGGGGAAAGGCCCACCAAGGCGACGAUCCGUAGCUGGUCUGAGAGGAUGAUCAGCCACACUGGAACUGAGACACGGUCCAGACUCCUACGGGAGGCAGCAGUGGGGAAUAUUGGACAAUGGGCGCAAGCCUGAUCCAGCCAUACCGCGUGGGUGAAGAAGGCCUUCGGGUUGUAAAGCCCUUUUGUUGGGAAAGAAAAGCAGCAGGUUAAUACCCCGCUGUUCUGACGGUACCCAAAGAAUAAGCACCGGCUAACUUCGUG
Molecule: ribosomal RNA, 491 nt
Filed under: uncultured bacterium
Lineage: Bacteria
Description: partial 16S ribosomal RNA
Rfam family: Bacterial small subunit ribosomal RNA
Source: RNAcentral